RNAcentral lists this ribosomal RNA (429 nucleotides) under Bacteroidota bacterium. RNAcentral describes it as "Bacteroidetes bacterium partial 16S ribosomal RNA". It matches the Rfam family "Bacterial small subunit ribosomal RNA", at positions 355 to 776 of the family's 1533-position model. The record is from RNAcentral. Lineage: Bacteria; Pseudomonadati; Bacteroidota.
UAGGGAAUCUUCGGCAAUGGGGGGAACCCUGACCGAGCAACGCCGCGUGAGUGAAGAAGGUUUUCGGAUCGUAAAGCUCUGUUGUUAAGGAAGAACGAGUGUGAGAAUGGAAAGUUCAUACUGUGACGGUACUUAACCAGAAAGGGACGGCUAACUACGUGCCAGCAGCCGCGGUAAUACGUAGGUCCCGAGCGUUGUCCGGAUUUAUUGGGCGUAAAGCGAGCGCAGGCGGUUAGAUAAGUCUGAAGUUAAAGGCAGUGGCUCAACCAUUGUAGGCUUUGGAAACUGUUUAACUUGAGUGCAGAAGGGGGGAGUGGAAUUCCAUGUGUAGCGGUGAAAUGCGUGGAUAUAUGGAGGAACACCGGUGGCGAAAGCGGCUCUCUGGUCUGUAACUGACGCUGAGGCUCGAAAGCGUGGGGAGCGAACAGG